Molecule: ribosomal RNA, 494 nt
Filed under: uncultured bacterium
Lineage: Bacteria
Description: partial 16S ribosomal RNA
Rfam family: Bacterial small subunit ribosomal RNA
Source: RNAcentral
GACGAACGCUGGCGGCGUGCUUAACACAUGCAAGUCGAACGGUGAAGCGCCUUCCUUUUUGGUGGGUGUGGAUGAGUGGCGAACGGGUGCGUAACACGUGAGUAACCUGCCCCCUUCUUCUGGAUAACCGCAUGAAAGUGUGGCUAAUACGGGAUAUUCUGGGUCUGUCGCAUGAUGGGUCUGGGAAAGAUCUUGUUUCGGUGGGGGAUGGGCUCGCGGCCUAUCAGGUUGUUGGUGGGGUGAUGGCCUACCAAGGCGGUGACGGGUAGCCGGCCUGGGAGGGUGGACGGUCACACUGGGACUGAGACGCGGCCCAGACUCCUGCGGGAGGCAGCAGUGAGGAAUAGUGCACAGUGGGCGCAAGCCUGAUGCAGCGACGCCGCGUGAGAGAUGGAGGCCUGAGGGUUGUGAACCUCUUUCGCCAGUGAAGCAGGCCUGCCUCGUUUGUGGGUGGGUUGACGGUAGCUGGAGAAGAAGCGCCGGCUAACUACGUG